GCAUCGAUGAAGAACGCAGCGAAAUGCGAUACGUAAUGUGAAUUGCAGAAUUCCGUGAAUCAUCGAAUCUUUGAACGCACAUUGCGCCCCUUGGUAUUCCAGGGGGCAUGCCUGUUUGAGCGUCAUUU
This 128-nucleotide ribosomal RNA is filed under the name Saccharomyces cerevisiae (brewer's yeast). RNAcentral's name for it is "partial 5.8S ribosomal RNA". It matches the Rfam family "5.8S ribosomal RNA", at positions 30 to 154 of the family's 154-position model. From Rfam's summary of the family: 5.8S ribosomal RNA (5.8S rRNA) is a component of the large subunit of the eukaryotic ribosome. Lineage: Eukaryota; Fungi; Ascomycota; Saccharomycetes; Saccharomycetales; Saccharomycetaceae. The record is from RNAcentral.